Molecule: ribosomal RNA, 497 nt
Filed under: uncultured bacterium
Lineage: Bacteria
Description: partial 16S ribosomal RNA
Rfam family: Bacterial small subunit ribosomal RNA
Source: RNAcentral
GAUGAACGCUGGCGGCGUGCCUAAUACAUGCAAGUCGAGCGAACAGAUAAGGAGCUUGCUCCUUUGACGUUAGCGGCGGACGGGUGAGUAACACGUGUAUAACCUACCUAUAAGACUGGGAUAACUUCGGGAAACCGGAGCUAAUACCGGAUAAGAUUUUGAACCGCAUGGUUCAAUAGUGAAAGACGGCCUUGCUGUCACUUAUAGAUGGAUCCGCGCCGUAUUAGCUAGUUGGUAAGGUAACGGCUUACCAAGGCAACGAUACGUAGCCGACCUGAGAGGGUGAUCGGCCACACUGGAACUGAGACACGGUCCAGACUACUACGGGAGGCAGCAGUAGGGAAUCUUCCGCAAUGGGCGAAAGCCUGACGGAGCAACGGCGCGUGAGUGAUGAAGGUCUUCGGAUCGUAAAACUCUGUUAUCAGGGAAGAACAAACGUGUAAGUAACUGUGCACGUCUUGACGGUACCUGAUCAGAAAGCAACGGCUAACUACGUG